GAAAGAGUGGCGUAAGAUUUCUCACAUUCCCUCCGUAGUUAUCCAAGGAAAAAUGAUCACAUGAGUGUCGCUUCCGGUUUGUUGCAGGUAAAAGUAUUCCAUUUUGGGGGAACAUGUAUGAUUUCAACAUGUCUUGCAUUCGAUAAGAGGUUGUCAUGGAUGUUGCCCAAUUUCCUGUAGUUGAUGUCCUAGACCAUCAAGAUUUAGUCACCAGUUCUUCUACACUUCAGGGAAUGUAAGCAAUCUUGCGCCAUUCUUUCCCUCGCUUCCUCCGCCAACUUGCUUCAAGUAAUGGACAUUGAGAGAUACUGAGUACAAAAAGAGAGGAAGGCAAUCCCUGUUCUGGCAGCGA
This is a long non-coding RNA of Cicer arietinum (chickpea), 352 nucleotides long. RefSeq lists it as uncharacterized. Lineage: Eukaryota; Viridiplantae; Streptophyta; Magnoliopsida; Fabales; Fabaceae. The record is from RefSeq and is a predicted model, not a curated record.